AACGAACGCUGGCGGCAUGCCUAACACAUGCAAGUCGAACGAGACCUUCGGGUCUAGUGGCGCACGGGUGCGUAACGCGUGGGAACCUGCCCUUAGGUUCGGAAUAACUCCCCGAAAGGGGUGCUAAUACCGGAUAAUGUCUUCGGACCAAAGAUUUAUCGCCUUUGGAUGGGCCCGCGUUGGAUUAGCUAGUUGGUAGGGUAAAAGCCUACCAAGGCGACGAUCCAUAGCUGGUCUGAGAGGAUGAUCAGCCACACUGGGACUGAGACACGGCCCAGACUCCUACGGGAGGCAGCAGUGGGGAAUAUUGGACAAUGGGCGAAAGCCUGAUACAGCAAUGCCGCGUGAGUGAUGAAGGCGUUAGGGUUGUAAAGCUCUUUUACCCGGGAUGAUAAUGACAGUACCGGGAGAAUAAGCACCGGCUAACUCCGUG
Molecule: ribosomal RNA, 433 nt
Filed under: uncultured bacterium
Lineage: Bacteria
Description: partial 16S ribosomal RNA
Rfam family: Bacterial small subunit ribosomal RNA
Source: RNAcentral